Molecule: small nucleolar RNA, 107 nt
Organism: Abrus precatorius (Indian licorice)
Lineage: Eukaryota; Viridiplantae; Streptophyta; Magnoliopsida; Fabales; Fabaceae
Source: RefSeq, a predicted model, not a curated record
AAAGAAUGAUGAGGACACUUCCGAAUUAGGUCUUUAUACCUUUCACAUGCCUCAUAUAAGGACUCAGACUCUUGUUGCACAAAAUUAGUAAUCUCAUUUCUCAUUCU